CGAACGAGAAGCUUCUUUCGGGAAGUGGAGAGUGGCGCACGGGUGAGUAACGCGUGGGGAUCUACCCUUUGGUACGGGAUAACGUUUGGAAACGAACGCUAAUACCGUAUGUGGUCUACGGACUAAAGAUUUAUCGCCAAAGGAUGAACCCGCGUAAGAUUAGAUAGUUGGUGGGGUAAUGGCCUACCAAGUCUACGAUCUUUAGCUGGUCUGAGAGGACGAUCAGCCACACUGGAACUGAGACACGGUCCAG
RNAcentral lists this ribosomal RNA (253 nucleotides) under uncultured bacterium. Its description in RNAcentral is "partial 16S ribosomal RNA". It matches the Rfam family "Bacterial small subunit ribosomal RNA", at positions 63 to 334 of the family's 1533-position model. The record is from RNAcentral.